RNAcentral lists this ribosomal RNA (217 nucleotides) under Funneliformis coronatus. RNAcentral describes it as "partial small subunit ribosomal RNA". It matches the Rfam family "Eukaryotic small subunit ribosomal RNA", at positions 667 to 864 of the family's 1831-position model. Lineage: Eukaryota; Fungi; Glomeromycota; Glomeromycetes; Glomerales; Glomeraceae. The record is from RNAcentral.
GGAUCAAUAUAACAGUCAUGCCGUUGGUAUGCACUGUUAUAAUUGGUUUCUCACCUUCUAAAGAAUUGUAAUGCCAUUAAUUUGGUGUCACAGGGAAUUAGGACUGGUAUCUUGAAAAAAUUAGAGUGUUUAAAGCAGGCUCACGCUUGAAUACAUUAGCAUGGAAUAAUGAAAUAGGACAUCCGAUUCUAUUUUGUUGGUUUCUAGGAUCGAUGUA